ACUUCAAAUAAUUUCAAUAUAUAUAUUUAAAGUACUCCAAAACAUUUCAUACUUAUAAUUAGUUAACCUUCAAACUUAAAUACAACCCAACGGAAUAUGUACCAUAGUCAUCUACUAUAAUACAACUUAAAAUCUCCAAAAGGAAACAAUUUAGUACUAUUCAUGAGCACUCUCGGUCUUGAACCCUGUUAAGGAAAACAAAAACGUGGAAUCAGCUAAACAGCCCAGUGAGAUUCCAAGACACUCUAGCAGUUCUACUAAAUCAAGUAAUUUAAGCAUAAUACAUGUAUGAUUCAAGGUUGCACAUUGGCACAUUAAUAUAAAACAGUUAUCAUUAUACAGAAAUAAACACACAUUGAAGGAUACUGUGUUCCAGUGAAACUAUUUCGAUCAACUUCACCUUAUAACUUUAGAUCCCCUCGAUUUGUCUGGCUAUCACCUUAUCCCUCCAGUGGUAAUACUUGAGUAUACCGAAACGGUAGCUCAGGGUUCCAACCUACCCGACCGAGUCCAGUCCUGACUCGAGCAAGUUAGUAACCAAGGGCAAGAUCCAGUUCAGCUUAGAGCUUACAACAUGCGUAAGUAAUCAAGUAAAUCAGUAAAUCGAUUGAACGAUAGAAAUUUGUCAUUUUAGUAGGUCGAGUGAGAUAAAGUACCCACUUGCCUUAAAACAAUGGCAAUUUUAUAAGAGCAAUUAUAGGUAAUACUUAACACUUGAACACGUAAGAAAUAUAUCGUAAUUUCAUAUGAACACGAAAUUUCCGGUAAUCAAAUAAUCAAGUAAAUCGGUAAAUAGUGGUUCGGUUGAAUGGUAAAUCGGUAAAUCGGUUGGACGAUAGAAAUUUGUCAUUUUAGUAGAUCGAGUAAGAUAAAGUACACACUCGCCUUAAAACAAUGGAAAAGUUCAUAGGAGCAAUUAUUGGUAGCACUUAAUAGUUAAACACAUAAUGACCAUGGAGUAAACAUGUCGUAAAACUAUUCAAGUCACGUACUCCUAUAUGGAACACUCACCAAUUCAUAACAAGUGAGUAAGUGCUCAAAUAAGUGUUUAGGCGUCCGCUUCGAGUUCCUCUUGAAGGUCCCCUUGAGCGCCAGAGCAAAUAAUAAUUAACUUCACUCACAAUCAUGCAUUUACCAAGAAAGGAUGCACACUCAUUUAGACUAAAUCAAAAUCUUAAAAGAGAGCUUUAAUUCUCUCAACUCGAGGUUCAAGAGUGAAGUGUCAAAAUCUGAAGAGAGACUAGCAUCUUCCAUGAAAUCGAGUUCAAAAUGUUCAAAUGAUAUCGAGAAAAGAAGUCAAGUUCCCGAAAUUGCAUUUUCUAAGUAAUCGGCAAAUUUUAGCUUUGCACGACAAUCUUUGGAAAAUUGAAUAUGGAGUUUUACAUGUCAAAAAAUGGAAAACUUUACACCGUUGGAAUCUUUGUUCGAAAUACUAAAAGUUCCUAGAAGACAUUUUUCAAAGAUUAUAAAUGGAAGACAUUCAAAUUUCAGCCCAAAGUGGCUGACUUGAACCUAUAAGACAGUUUCAGUCUUAGUUUUCGGCAAAAUUUGGAAAAUCGGUAAAAUUCACAGAAAGUGAACUAGCCUUCAAAAUUUGUAACACAAUAAGAAGUCCAAACAAGGUUUCAAACAGGACAAACAGAACUAAAUUCAGAGUUUUGAGCAUUGAUAUAUAAUAGUUUGAAGCUGGCUGGAAUUUGGGCACAAAUCAGAAAUUUUCCAGAUUUGAAAAGCAAACUUUGUAGCAUCAUUUGGAUAUCGAAAGGUUCUUGAAAUAACACCAAAUUUUGUACACUUAAAUCUCUAUAUGUGGAUUACCCCUGUAUGAAAUUUCAUGCAAAAAUUUAUGUGGGAAGGUAGUUAACAAAAUGACUGAAGUUUGUAAAAUGUUUCGAAGCAAAUCUGUCUUCUUGCUUUCCUUUCUUUUCAAAACAUUUUGCACAAUGAAAUCAGUCCCAAUUAAAUCCAUUUUUGAAAACAAGGUCCUAAAAACAUCUAUUAUACAUUUGGUAGGUGAUUGACACCAGAAUUUUCGGAACAACAUGUCCCAAAUCAAAUUAGACCAGUCGGCUAGCAAGAAAGAAGAAUUUUCCAGAUUUCCAGCUUUACUGCAGUUUGAAAUUUGAACCAUAUCUCACUCAAUACAACUUGAAAUUGUUAAUGGUUGGUGGCGUUGGAAACUAGAUUCAAAAGGCUACAUUUCAUCAGAAGAAAUUAUUUUGAAAAUCAGUUCAUAGCUAGCUCGAAUUCAAGCGACAAGCCACAGCUUAUCACUGUCACUCGCACAGCACAGCAGAACAGAACAAGUAACUUUGGUGAACUACUACGGUUCACUCAAUUCAAACUAGAUGGUGAAUUUUAUACUGUUGGAAAGCUACAAACGUCUAAUUUCAAAUUCACAAACGGCACAUGAUUUUGAUGUCUGUACAGAGAGAUAUGUUCAAUUAAAGAGACACCGUUCAUUAGCCCAGAACACGUUUUCCAAUUUCUAUAAAUUUCGAAAAUUCAACUUUUGCUCAAUCAAUUUAAAUGAUUUUUGGUAGAAACUUUCUACACAAUAUAUACACAUCAGUUUCAUAGUCAUUUGAGCCCCCAAAAUUCGAAAUACAGGUACGGCCAAAACAGGACAAAUUUGUCUAGCAUUCCUACGAAAUUUUUCCUUCAUCUUUCCAUCAAUUUCUAAGCUUAAUACUCAUCACAGCCACAAUAACACGUAUAUUAUCAUCAUAUCAGCACAUAUACCCAAGGUGGGAAUUCAUAGAACCCACUUCAAUCUUUUCAAUCCAAAUAACAAUAACAAUAUGGAAGCUACAAGCUUCAUAGUCAAAACCGAAACCCAUUAAAGCCAAGAAAAUGGAAAGAUUUGAAGUGGAUGAAGGCUACCUCUUAGCUCUUGAAGAAACCAGAAAUUUCACCAUUAAAACUCCCAAGAAAACUGCCAAGAUGAAGCUUUCCUCUAGGCCAAGGCUAAUCUCCAAGUGAUUUUGAGGUUGGAUGCAAAGUUGGAAGUGUUUUGGAGCAAGAAUGAGCAAAAAUGGAGUGGAGAGCUUUCUUCCUUCUUCCCUUGAAGUUGCUGGCCGAAAAUGAGGGAGUGAGGAGAGAGAGAUGAGGGUUUGUUUGGGUGAUGAAACUUGGAGAGAAAG
This 3143-nucleotide long non-coding RNA is filed under the name Coffea arabica (coffee). RNAcentral describes it as "long non-coding RNA (CARA_LNC005906)". Lineage: Eukaryota; Viridiplantae; Streptophyta; Magnoliopsida; Gentianales; Rubiaceae. The record is from RNAcentral.